This 1738-nucleotide long non-coding RNA is filed under the name Gallus gallus (chicken). Its description in RNAcentral is "long non-coding RNA NONGGAT007874". The record is from RNAcentral. Lineage: Eukaryota; Metazoa; Chordata; Aves; Galliformes; Phasianidae.
UUUUUUGGCAGAACUGCUGCUUGAAGUCUCUUGGUCUGCAUUGCAGAUUGAUGCAGCUGAGUGCCUCUGUUGCAUGUGUUGUUUUCUGUGUGCCACUUGAACAGUCCCAUUUGUUUUGGAGUAUUUCUUUGAUUUAUGAGGAAUUUACAGCACCUUCAAGCCAGGUUUGUCUGCAGCUCUCAUAAGCACGUAUGCUACUACUCAUCUGUCUGAGGGAAUGAUUUGGAAUGCAGUGUCUGGUUGCUGUGUGACCCCUGAGAACUGCUCUACCUUUUUAACCAGAUUUUGGAAUGCUUCAGCACGUUAUUGCAUACUAUGUUCAACAAGAACACAGCAAGAAAUACACCAUCUAUCAAGUAGUGCUGCAAGAUCAAAACGCUGCGUUGUACAUCCGUCUUCUGAGAACUGAAUGAGAGGGAAGAGACCUGACGCAGAGCCGGACUGCUUAACGUGCUUCGGGGAGGUGCUCCGAUUGCAUGUCUGAUAGAAAAGCUAGACAGAACCCACAGAGAGUCUGUCAACAGUCUUAAUUUCAAACUGCAUUAAAUAAUUUGUGCUGGUGACUUACAGCUCAGCCCUGUGUUGCUGCUGAGUGUGAACUCGUGGCCUGCGUGACAAGGAUCAGAGGCAAGACCCCUGGCACUACAAGAUGUACUGACUUCACUGCUCUGCGAUGUGACGGUGCUGCAGUAAUUCUAGACUACUGGGCACGCAGCUAGGAAGCUGAGCCUGGCAUCAGCUGCCAGGGAAGUGAGGAGGAGGAAAAGAAACAGAUCCUAAAUUGCAAUCCCAGCAUUCCUGCAGCUAAAGAGUCUGUCAGCAGAGUAAAAAAAGCAACAAGCGGGGGAGAGAGGAAUAGACUUACCACUCCGCUCUUAAAGUUCUGUAUUCUCCUCUUGCCCAUUCUGUUCAUCAGCCACCAGGCCCAGGUGGGCGCGUACUGCCAGAGGUAGCAGACUGCCAGGUAGGGGUGGUCGCUGAUCCAGGCCUCCUUCAGGUCAUUGGCUGUGCUCACCAGCGUGAGCCGGACACAGCGCUCAGUUGGCAUCUUGUGGGACUGGUCACCACUGUUCUCUAUCGACUGGAGGAGAGAGAGAGAGGGCAGGAAUUAAAACUGGACUUCUGGUUGUGGCUGACAGAGGGAGAGAAAGGGCCAGGCUCUGUGCAGCAGACACGCUCUUCUUAACUUCUGCACUGUGCAAAUGAGGAAUAACCCAUCUCUCCCUGCUAAUCCACUGGCUUCCUGUGUAGGAACACUUAGCGCCUUCCUUUAGAUUAAAUAAAGUACCUUUUUAAUUAAUGCCUCCAUUGAUAGUUCAAAAAAGGUUAAAAAUGCCUCAAAAAUCUAUUCUGCUUUGGCAUGAAAUUACACUCAAGGAGACAUAUCAGGGCAAAUAACCCAUUCUGCAGCUGAGGGCUCUGAGAAAUGAAAACUUUCCUGUUCCCAGCUGCCUACCCCAUUAUACAUUACAAGUUAAUCUGUAAUCAAAUUAGUACGAGGACAUGUCCCCCAUUAACUUAAAACUUCCUGCCAGCUCUGCUCUGUGUGCAGUUAUCUCAAGAGAAGAGCAAUAGGCUUCUUCAGUGGCAGUGAUGUUUUGUUUGAUGUCUUCUCCACAGGUAUCCCAUAGUGAAAAUAAGCUGCAGCUCUGUGAAUUCAUACACAUCUUGCUCCAGCAGCCAUGGACUGCUCUAUCACUCUGUUCUUCUGUUUCCUGGAGCAAAAGCAAUUCUGGCU